AAACAGAAAGCGGUUGACAGACAAUCCAUCACACACAACCCGAUGACGGAGCAUGUUCACUGCAUUUGUUUACAAACUGGGUGACCGGGCAGCGCACUGACAACUUCAACCAAAAUCUACAAAUGACAUUUUAUAAACUACCCUACGAACUGAAUCAUAUGUAGGACUCACCGCCAGUUAAGUCGGAACAGCAGAGCGGAACUCUGCAGGUCGGAACAGCGGAGCGGAACUUUGCAGGUCGUAACAGCGAAGCGGUCCUCUGCAGGUCGGAACAGCGGAGCGGAACUUUGCAGGUCGGAACAGCGGAGCGGAACUCUGCAGGUCGGAACAGCGGAGCGGAACUUUGCAGGUCGGAGCAGCGGAGCGGAACUCUGCAGGUCGGAACAGAGGAGCGGAACUUUGCAGGUCGGAACAGCGGAG
Long non-coding RNA from Oncorhynchus tshawytscha (Chinook salmon), 420 nucleotides. The record is from Ensembl. NCBI's taxonomy places the organism in Eukaryota, Metazoa, Chordata, Actinopteri, Salmoniformes, Salmonidae.